Non-coding RNA from Paramisgurnus dabryanus, 225 nucleotides. The record is from RefSeq and is a predicted model, not a curated record. NCBI's taxonomy places the organism in Eukaryota, Metazoa, Chordata, Actinopteri, Cypriniformes, Cobitidae.
AACAUCGACUCCUAGCAAAGCCAAACAUGCACAACCACCACAGCUGCCGGUGUCUAGCCUUACUGAGGAGUCUGACCGUGAUAGGGAUGACUUUACAGUCCUAGGUGUACAACAGCUGGAUGCACAAGAAGUGGGUGUGCUAGAAGCAAGCAUGCACUCCAUGAGUAUUGCAGAGGAGGAGUGUGACAGUCCAGAUGAAGCAAGGAACGAUUUGAGAAAUAGCAC